CACAUAAGAUACUGGAUGCAUGGU
RNAcentral lists this non-coding RNA (24 nucleotides) under Arabidopsis thaliana (thale cress). Lineage: Eukaryota; Viridiplantae; Streptophyta; Magnoliopsida; Brassicales; Brassicaceae. The record is from RNAcentral.